RNAcentral lists this ribosomal RNA (229 nucleotides) under uncultured bacterium. RNAcentral's name for it is "partial 16S ribosomal RNA". It matches the Rfam family "Bacterial small subunit ribosomal RNA", at positions 568 to 796 of the family's 1533-position model. The record is from RNAcentral.
UCCGUAGGUGGAUAAUUAAGUCAGAGGUGAAAUCCUGCAGCUCAACUGUAGAAUUGCCUUUGAUACUGGUUGUCUUGAAUUAUUGUGAAGUAGUUAGAAUAUGUAGUGUAGCGGUGAAAUGCAUAGAUAUUACAUAGAAUACCAAUUGCGAAGGCAGAUUACUAACAAUAUAUUGACGCUGAGGGACGAAAGCGUGGGGAGCGAACAGGAUUAGAUACCCUGGUAGUCC